Molecule: ribosomal RNA, 587 nt
Filed under: uncultured bacterium
Lineage: Bacteria
Description: bacterial SSU rRNA
Rfam family: Bacterial small subunit ribosomal RNA
Source: RNAcentral
CCUACGGGAGGCAGCAGUGGGGAAUAUUGGACAAUGGGCGCAAGCCUGAUCCAGCCAUACCGCGUGUGUGAAGAAGGCCUUCGGGUUGUAAAGCACUUUAAGUAAGGAAGAAAAGUAUAUUGUUAAUACCAAUGUACCGUGACAUUACUUACAGUAUAAGGACCGGCUAAUUCCGUGCCAGCAGCCGCGGUAAUACGGAAGGUCCAAGCGUUAAUCGGAAUUACUGGGCGUAAAGCGCGCGUAGGUGGUUUAUUAAGUUGGGUGUGAAAGCCCCGGGCUCAACCUGGGAACUGCAUCCAAAACUGAUUCACUAGAGUACGAAAGAGGGAGGUAGAAUUCACAGUGUAGCGGUGGAAUGCGUAGAUAUUGUGAAGAAUACCAAUGGCGAAGGCAGCCUCCUGGUUCUGUACUGACACUGAGGUGCGAAAGCGUGGGUAGCGAACAGGAUUAGAUACCCUGGUAGUCCACGCCGUAAACGAUGACAACCAGCUGUUGGGAAGCAAUGCUUUUCAGUGGCGCAGCUAACGUCUUAAGUUGUCCGCCUGGGGAGUACGGCCGCAAGGUUAAAACUCAAAUGAAUUGACGGA